Molecule: ribosomal RNA, 418 nt
Filed under: uncultured bacterium
Lineage: Bacteria
Description: bacterial SSU rRNA
Rfam family: Bacterial small subunit ribosomal RNA
Source: RNAcentral
UGGGGAAUAUUGGGCAAUGGGCGCAAGCCUGACCCAGCAACGCCGCGUGAAGGAAGAAGGCUUUCGGGUUGUAAACUUCUUUUAUCAGGGACGAAACAAAUGACGGUACCUGAUGAAUAAGCCACGGCUAACUACGUGCCAGCAGCCGCGGUAAUACGUAGGUGGCAAGCGUUAUCCGGAUUUACUGGGUGUAAAGGGCGUGUAGGCGGGCUUGCAAGUCAGAUGUGAAAUUCCACGGCUCAACCGUGGAACUGCAUUUGAAACUGUAGGUCUUGAGUGCUGGAGAGGCAAUCGGAAUUCCGUGUGUAGCGGUGAAAUGCGUAGAUAUACGGAGGAACACCGGUGGCGGAGGCGGAUUGCUGGACAGUAACUGACGCUGAGGCGCGAAAGCGUGGGGAGCAAACAGGAUUAGAUACCC